GGGGACAUAGCUCAGUAGGUAGAGUGCUUGCCUUGCAUGUCCAAGGCCCUGGGUUCAAUCCCCAGCACCACCA
RNAcentral lists this transfer RNA (73 nucleotides) under Ictidomys tridecemlineatus (thirteen-lined ground squirrel). RNAcentral describes it as "Spermophilus tridecemlineatus (thirteen-lined ground squirrel) tRNA". It matches the Rfam family "tRNA". Rfam says of the family: Transfer RNA (tRNA) molecules are approximately 80 nucleotides in length. Their secondary structure includes four short double-helical elements and three loops (D, anti-codon, and T loops). The record is from Rfam by way of RNAcentral. Lineage: Eukaryota; Metazoa; Chordata; Mammalia; Rodentia; Sciuridae.